AACGCACGAGACCUGCGGACCUGCGGAAGGAUCAUUAAUGAGAAACUGCCCCUCGCGGGUAGAUCUCCCACCCUUUGUAAACUUACCUUUGUUGCUUUGGCAGGCCCGUCUCCGGACCGCCGGCUUCGGCUGGCCAGUGCCUGCCAGAGGAUUCUAAAACUCCGUCUGUCAGUGUUGUCUGAGUCUAUAUACAAUCGUUAAAACUUUUAGCAAUGGAUCUCUAGAUCGGAAGAGCACACG
Molecule: unclassified non-coding RNA, 240 nt
Filed under: soil metagenome
Description: partial contains 5.8S ribosomal RNA, internal transcribed spacer 2, and large subunit ribosomal RNA
Source: RNAcentral